Molecule: long non-coding RNA, 2641 nt
Organism: Branchiostoma floridae (Florida lancelet)
Lineage: Eukaryota; Metazoa; Chordata; Leptocardii; Amphioxiformes; Branchiostomatidae
Exons: 3
Source: RefSeq, a predicted model, not a curated record
UGUGUGUGUGUACUGUGUUCAACACCAAGGACAGGUCUGGUUGUGUAUGUAUGGUGUUCAGCACCAAGGACAGGUCUGUGUGUCGAUGUGUGGACUGUGUUCAGCAAUGAGGAAUGAUCUGUUUUCCCAUAUGGCAAUGUUAUUCAGUACCAAGGACAGAUAUGUUUGGCCCUGUGUGGAUAAGGCACCUGCAUUUCCAUCAUUACACCCAGAAAUCCUUUUAAUCUGAAAAAAUAUAUUGCUGUCCUAGGCAAGUUGAAAACCAGGGCCUCACUUGGGCAGGCUGCCAAAAUUUUUCAAUCAGAAAAUUUAACAACAAUCUGAACUUUGUUGUUUUCCACUGCUAGUUACACUGGGCAAAGGAAAUUGUCUGGUUUGCAUUAUAGCCUCAAUAGUGAUUCAGAAAAAAUUGAUUUGUAUCCUGAUUAGCUAUAUAUAACGUGAGAUUCAGUUUACUGGAAAGCUAGAAUUUAACUGACUGUGUCCUCAAAGAUUCUAUUAUACAUUGGUCGAACUUUCCCCACCUCUGUCCAACAUUGGAUUGAACAGUGGACAGCAGCCUAAUUUUCUGUCCUAACAACAUUUCCAUAACCUACAUUUCCAGUAGUAUACAAUUAUGGUAAGAACAACAGCCAAAGUCAAAACUUUCAACCUUCUAGUCCAAACGAAGGGUUGUUAACAAUUGGAGCCUACGUUGUACAGUAAAUCCUAGCUUGUAACUGCUGUGGAGUACAUAAGUAGGCAGGUGUAGCAGUUUCCUACAUCCUGUUCUUAUCAUCUCUUCUAUGCAUUUUCAACAUGUUGAAAUGAUGUGGUUGGUUGGAAAGACGUCAUCACACAUCACAAUAGCCUUAUCUUUAAUCUCAUUUCCAUUCAAUACAUCCAGGAAAACAUUACAGCAGCUUGAUUGAGUGGUCACAAAUGGACCAUGUAGCUCCAGCAGUACUGAUGAAAAACAGAAAAAUGGCUCCUUGAUUUCAGGAGCCACCCAUCCCGCUAGUCUUUAGUGAGUGGGAUGUGGUAGAUGGCUACAUGUCAGCUUUCACUUUUAAUUGAUGAUGAAAUAUUUUAGCAUCCUUGUCAUACCUUUUUAUAUUGUUGCACUACAUCUUUUCUAUUUGAACACAUUGAUUAAUUAAUUUUUAGAGUCCCUUGGUCUUGCACAGGUAGACUGACAAUUGGGGCUGGCAAUGUAUUGCAGCAUUGCACCUCACCAUGCUGUCAAAAGACUACUCUAUAUACAGUUUAAACCUAACCAAUGGCUGUCCUCUCAUGUAUGAUAAUGACUACAUGGAGUAUGUAGAUGUAGUCUUGAAUAACUUUUUAAACAGCUCUGUAUUUGUAUUUAUGUUAGAACAAUCAUAUAUUUUGCUGACAAAAGCAUGCAAUGUUUGGUUCUUACCUGGAAACUACAAUUAGGUACAAAGUACAAAAUCACCCGGAUCAUGCAGUCUGUAGGAAUUCCAACUAGCCCACAACUUCCCCAGAUGAAAGAUUGAUUUUAUGUCUCUGUGACCGCACAAGGUCAUAUUUGGCACUGAUGAGAUGACAAAGUAUAUCCAAUUUUUGUUCACUAGCUAUGACCUACCAAUACUUGAACUGGCAAAGAUCCAUCUGGUCCAAGAAAUAGUUGAGACCCCAAAUCUAGGACGACUGAUUCUGCUGUAUCUUGUACAUCAAAAUGAUAAUGAUCCACCAUUGUACCCUUACACCUUAUGGUGGUGCAAGAAGAUAAUGAUUGUGAUACACUGUGUAUCGUACAUAUUAUGUACUGUCCAAAGCAAGCACUAAUGAAUAUUGUCACAGUUGUCUUGAUAUAGCACUUCAAACAGAAAGUUACACUUACAAAUGUCGUGUACAAAACUGGUGUGAUACAUGUGUAAAGGCAGUUUACCAGUUAUGAGAAACAAGCAAAAACAAAAACAUAGCAUGAAUCACAAAAUGAAUUUUUUGCUUAUCAGGCUGACUUUCAUAAGGCAUUGAUGGCAUGGUAUUAUUUUGACAUUCUGUUAGUCACCAUACAUGGUGGAGAGCUGUUUGUAACUGUAGCUGUAACCAAGAAGGUUGUGACGAGAGCGCCUCACUUUGAUGACCACCAGAACUGCAGUGAGGGCCACUACUAGUACUGCCACAACAGAAACAGUGAUGGUUGCCACAGGAAGAGUGCUUCCACCAGAGAUGUCAACUUGGUGCUCUGUUUGAAAAUGAGGUGCUGUCAUCAAGAACAAUGGGGCCCUGGUAGAUGGAGUGCAGCCCUGUCAUGUCCGACUUGUGUGACAGCUCCCUCCUGCGGCGUCCAGGGGCGCUACGACAACCCUGCCAGGAUAACAUUAUUUAUUUAUAGUAUGUCAUGGAACUCUAACAUUUCAAUGUUACCGAACUCUUACAUUUCAGAUUUACAAUCAUCGUGGUGUUUCCAUCAUAAUGGUUGCUCUAAUCAUGAUAAAUGUCAUCAUCAUGAAUAAUCAAGUGAUUGAACAUUCCACUGGAAUUAGUAAGUACAAAAACGCAUCUGGCUUAGAUCAUGUGACAGAAAAAUAUAACUUCAAAAGGUUGUUCAUACAUAUAAAAAUGUGUUAAGCUCUAUAAUUUUACCUGUUUUGUGGCUGUUAUUGGCAAACAAUUUAUGUGAUCUGCACCC